This 809-nucleotide ribosomal RNA is filed under the name Flavobacterium sp. Its description in RNAcentral is "bacterial SSU rRNA". It matches the Rfam family "Bacterial small subunit ribosomal RNA", at positions 56 to 877 of the family's 1533-position model. The record is from RNAcentral. Lineage: Bacteria; Pseudomonadati; Bacteroidota; Flavobacteriia; Flavobacteriales; Flavobacteriaceae.
UGCAGUCGAGGGGUAUGGUUCUUCGGAGCAGAGACCGGCGCACGGGUGCGUAACGCGUAUGCAUCUACCUUUUACAGAGGGAUAGCCCAGAGAAAUUUGGAUUAAUACCUCAUAGUAUAUCUUGACCGCAUGGUCAAGUUAUUAAAGUCACAACGGUAAAAGAUGAGCAUGCGUCCCAUUAGCUAGUUGGUAAGGUAACGGCUUACCAAGGCUACGAUGGGUAGGGGUCCUGAGAGGGAGAUCCCCCACACUGGUACUGAGACACGGACCAGACUCAUACGGGAGGCAGCAGUGAGGAAUAUUGGACAAUGGGCGCAAGCCUGAUCCAGCCAUGCCGCGUGCAGGAUGACGGUCCUAUGGAUUGUAAACUGCUUUUAUACGAGAAGAAACACUGAUUCGUGAAUCAGCUUGACGGUAUCGUAAGAAUAAGGAUCGGCUAACUCCGUGCCAGCAGCCGCGGUAAUACGGAGGAUCCAAGCGUUAUCCGGAAUCAUUGGGUUUAAAGGGUCCGUAGGCGGUUUGGUAAGUCAGUGGUGAAAGCCCAUCGCUCAACGGUGGAACGCCCAUUGAUACUGCCAGACUUGAAUUAUUAGGAAGUAACUAGAAUAUGUAGUGUAGCGGAGAAAUGCUUAGAGAUUACAUGGAAUACCAAUUGCGAAGGCGGUUACUACUAAUGGAUUGACGCUCAUGGACGAAAGCGUGGNUAGCUAACAGGAUUACAUACCCUGGUAGUNACGCCGUAAACGAUGGAUACAAGCUGUUGGAAGCAAUUUCAGUGGCUAAGCAAAAGUGAUAAGUAUCCACCUGGG